UUAAAAUUUUAUUUCUUAAUUUGAGUGAAGUACACAAAUGCGAAAAAUAGUAAUUCUAAAACAAUAUUUUUUUUAAAUCUUAAUUAAAUGCUUGUUAUUAAAAGUUUUGCUUUUUCUAAUAAAUUUUUUAAGUUGUAAAUUAAAUUUUUUUUAUAUUUUUAAUCCGAUAUGCGGGAGGAUGAGUGGCCGCUAUGUCCGCGGUUUUAUGAAGGUGGUCAACCGAAACUCCGGCGCACAUCCUAAUUGCGACGAACCUUCGAUAAUACAAAACGGAACACACAGCUCUUGCAGUCGUGCCCGACAAAGACUCGAACCUAUCCGCGGCGCGAUUGAUGAAUACGUCGAGUUUUUAGCCCUAAAAACUAAGGAAACGGAAUAGACACUCCUAUCGAAGGUUUUCGGAGCUGACUAAGAUCACUUCUUCGAGCAGAAUAUUUUUCAACAAAGACCGUAGAAGGGGCUCUUGUGACGACUGGGCGUUGUAUGAGGCAGGACUGGCGAUGUAGAAGUCUGAGUUAAAGAAAACCAAGAGACCCGCCUGGAAAGCCUUCUGGGGAAGUGUUAGGGGUUGUCAUGAUUCCCCAAGAUUGAAUUACAUUCUCGCGAAAACACCAUAUUCAACUGGGUUAUUUUAGAAGUGCAGAUGGUAUAUGGUGGUGUAGGGAGUUGAUAAAGUUCGCUCCAGGAUGGUUAGAUUAGAACUUGGAUCUAAGGCUUGGUUACGGAUAGAACUCUCAAUACAUUUCUAAGAAUAUAAGGCAUAUUAGUCUAUCCUCGUAUUUGUUGAAAACGUUGGAGAAGCUCAUGGACUUGUACAUUAGGAAUAGAAUAAAAAGGUGUAAAUUGUUAAGGACCCAGCAUGCCUACAGCAAGGGCAUGUUUUUCGAUAUUGUUUUGCACGAUGGCUCGAGGGAUCAUUUAUGUACAAGGAAUGUAUGAUAGACACUUUUCCCGAUCUCGAGGGUGCCUUAUAACGACUUUUUUUUGGACGUAGGGGAAUGAAAUAGUGAAUCUCGAAAGAAUAACAGAGACACCCCGCAGGAUGAUGUGUUUUAUUCUCUGUUCUGAUAUGUAGUGUUUUGGAUAUUCGAAACCGUAGUCAAGCCAAUUUUUUCUUUGCUCACAUAUCGACGGAGAUAUAUGGAUGACUCCGGAAAAGGAGCGACAAUAUUAGCGCUGAGCUAGCUAACUGUACCCUGAAAGUCUAGCAAGAGGAACCUUCCCCUCACAUCUGAAGGGGAACGAGUUAGAUCUCACUGUUCAAUAGCCAUUCAUGCGGUUCGGCUAAAUCGGCCAGUUGUAUAGAGGAAGUAGAACUGCAAACAAUCGAUGGGACUAUCGAUAGCAUUUAUAGUUUUAUAUUGCUUAUUUUAACCAAUGGGUGGCAUGCAGAGAUGAUAGCCUCAAAAUCAGCUUUUCGUAUUGGAUUCAGAAUGUUGCGGAAAUCUUUACAAUUAGGUAUAAAUUUCUAAUGUUGUGAAAUGCUGAAAUGCAGACGCAAUUCAAAAUUUUUCGACGCGACUGCUUUCCAAUAUUUUAAUAAGAGUUAAGAACCGUGGAAAAAUAGAAAUUGUGAACAAACCUAUAUUUUAUUUAGCAAUUGUGAUUUUACUAAAAUCAUUUUAAAAAAUAGAAUUAUGAAAUUGAAACAUAUAAUACAAACA
RNAcentral lists this long non-coding RNA (1664 nucleotides) under Bactrocera tryoni. RNAcentral's name for it is "uncharacterized LOC120780531, transcript variant X1". Lineage: Eukaryota; Metazoa; Arthropoda; Insecta; Diptera; Tephritidae. The record is from RNAcentral.